GGUUAAGCGACUAAGCGUACACGGUGGAUGCCCUGGCAGUCAGAGGCGAUGAAGGACGUGCUAAUCUGCGAAAAGCGCCGGCGAGGUGAUAUGAACCUUUGACCCGGCGAUGUCCGAAUGGGGAAACCCAGUGCAAUCCGUUGCACUAUCGUUAACUGAAUACAUAGGUUAACGAGGCGAACCGGGGGAACUGAAACAUCUAAGUACCCCGAGGAAAAGAAAUCAACCGAGAUUCCCCCAGUAGCGGCGAGCGAACGGGGAGCAGCCCGGAGUCUGAAUCAGCUUGUGUGUUAGUGGAACGGUCUGGAAAGUCCGACGGUACAGGGUGAUAGUCCCGUACACGAAAGCACACUUGCUGUGAACUCGAAGAGUAGGGCGGGACACGUGGUAUCCUGUCUGAAUAUGGGGGGACCAUCCUCCAAGGCUAAAUACUCCUGACUGACCGAUAGUGAACCAGUACCGUGAGGGAAAGGCGAAAAGAACCCCGGCGAGGGGAGUGAAAAAGAACCUGAAACCGUGUACGUACAAGCAGUGGGAGCCUCUUUAUGGGGUGACUGCGUACCUUUUGUAUAAUGGGUCAGCGACUUAUAUUCUGUAGCAAGGUUAACCGUAUAGGGGAGCCGAAGGGAAACCGAGUCUUAACUGGGCGUUAAGUUGCAGGGUAUAGACCCGAAACCCGGUGAUCUAGCCAUGGGCAGGUUGAAGGUUGGGUAACACUAACUGGAGGACCGAACCGACUAAUGUUGAAAAAUUAGCGGAUGACCUGUGGCUGGGGGUGAAAGGCCAAUCAAACCGGGAGAUAGCUGGUUCUCCCCGAAAGCUAUUUAGGUAGCGCCUCGUGAACUCAUCUUCGGGGGUAGAGCACUGUUUCGGCUAGGGGGCCAUCCCGGCUUACCAACCCGAUGCAAACUACGAAUACCGAAGAAUGUUAUCACGGGAGACACACGGCGGGUGCUAACGUCCGUCGUGAAGAGGGAAACAACCCAGACCGCCAGCUAAGGUCCCAAAGUCAUGGUUAAGUGGGAAACGAUGUGGGAAGGCACAGACAGCCAGGAUGUUGGCUUAGAAGCAGCCAUCAUUUAAAGAAAGCGUAAUAGCUCACUGGUCGAGUCGGCCUGCGCGGAAGAUGUAACGGGGCUAAACCAUGCACCGAAGCUGCGGCAGCGACACUAUGUGUUGUUGGGUAGGGGAGCGUUCUGUAAGCCGUUGAAGGUGUGCUGUGAGGCAUGCUGGAGGUAUCAGAAGUGCGAAUGCUGACAUAAGUAACGAUAAAGCGGGUGAAAAGCCCGCUCGCCGGAAGACCAAGGGUUCCUGUCCAACGUUAAUCGGGGCAGGGUGAGUCGACCCCUAAGGCGAGGCCGAAAGGCGUAGUCGAUGGGAAACAGGUUAAUAUUCCUGUACUUGGUGUUACUGCGAAGGGGGGACGGAGAAGGCUAUGUCAGCCGGGCGACGGUUGUCCCGGUUUAAGCAUGUAGGCGGAGGUUCCAGGUAAAUCCGGUACCUUGUUAACGCUGAGGUGUGAUGACGAGGCACUACGGUGCUGAAGUGAUAAAUGCCCUGCUUCCAGGAAAAGCCUCUAAGCAUCAGGUAACACGAAAUCGUACCCCAAACCGACACAGGUGGUCAGGUAGAGAAUACCAAGGCGCUUGAGAGAACUCGGGUGAAGGAACUAGGCAAAAUGGUGCCGUAACUUCGGGAGAAGGCACGCUGAUAUGUAGGUGAAGCCCCUGCGGGCGGAGCUGAAAUCAGUCGAAGAUACCAGCUGGCUGCAACUGUUUAUUAAAAACACAGCACUGUGCAAACACGAAAGUGGACGUAUACGGUGUGACGCCUGCCCGGUGCCGGAAGGUUAAUUGAUGGGGUUAGCGGCAACGCGAAGCUCUUGAUCGAAGCCCCGGUAAACGGCGGCCGUAACUAUAACGGUCCUAAGGUAGCGAAAUUCCUUGUCGGGUAAGUUCCGACCUGCACGAAUGGCGUAAUGAUGGCCAGGCUGUCUCCACCCGAGACUCAGUGAAAUUGAACUCGCUGUGAAGAUGCAGUGUACCCGCGGCAAGACGGAAAGACCCCGUGAACCUUUACUAUAGCUUGACACUGAACACUGGUCCUUGAUGUGUAGGAUAGGUGGGAGGCUUUGAAGCGUGGACGCCAGUCUGCGUGGAGCCAACCUUGAAAUACCACCCUUUAAUGGCUGGUGUUCUAACGUAGACCCGUAAUCCGGGUUGCGGACAGUGUCUGGUGGGUAGUUUGACUGGGGCGGUCUCCUCCCAAAGAGUAACGGAGGAGCACGAAGGUUGGCUAAUCCUGGUCGGACAUCAGGAGGUUAGUGCAAUGGCAUAAGCCAGCUUGACUGCGAGCGUGACGGCGCGAGCAGGUGCGAAAGCAGGUCAUAGUGAUCCGGUGGUUCUGAAUGGAAGGGCCAUCGCUCAACGGAUAAAAGGUACUCCGGGGAUAACAGGCUGAUACCGCCCAAGAGUUCAUAUCGACGGCGGUGUUUGGCACCUCGAUGUCGGCUCAUCACAUCCUGGGGCUGAAGUAGGUCCCAAGGGUAUGGCUGUUCGCCAUUUAAAGUGGUACGCGAGCUGGGUUUAGAACGUCGUGAGACAGUUCGGUCCCUAUCUGCCGUGGGCGCUGGAGAAUUGAGGGGGGCUGCUCCUAGUACGAGAGGACCGGAGUGGACGCAUCACUGGUGUUCGGGUUGUCAUGCCAAUGGCACUGCCCGGUAGCUAAAUGCGGAAGAGAUAAGUGCUGAAAGCAUCUAAGCACGAAACUUGCCCCGAGAUGAGUUCUCCCUGAGACUUUAAGUCUCCUGAAGGAACGUUGAAGACGACGACGUUGAUAGGUCGGGUGUGUAAGCGCAGCGAUGCGUUGAGCUAACCGAUACUAAUGAACCGUGAGGCUUAACCUU
RNAcentral lists this ribosomal RNA (2905 nucleotides) under Enterobacter hormaechei. Its description in RNAcentral is "23S ribosomal RNA". It matches the Rfam family "Bacterial large subunit ribosomal RNA". The record is from RNAcentral. Lineage: Bacteria; Pseudomonadati; Pseudomonadota; Gammaproteobacteria; Enterobacterales; Enterobacteriaceae.